UACGUAGGGUGCGAGCGUUAAUCGGAAUUACUGGGCGUAAAGCGUGCGCAGGCGGUUCGUCGUGUCCGAUGUGAAAGCCCCGGGCUCAACCUGGGAAUGGCAUUGGAAACUGGCGGGCUCGAGUGUGGCAGAGGGGGGUGGAAUUCCGCGUGUAGCAGUGAAAUGCGUAGAGAUGCGGAGGAACACCGAUGGCGAAGGCAGCCCCCUGGGCUGACACUGACGCUCAGGCACGAAAGCGUGGGGAGCAAACAGG
RNAcentral lists this ribosomal RNA (253 nucleotides) under uncultured bacterium. Its description in RNAcentral is "partial 16S ribosomal RNA". It matches the Rfam family "Bacterial small subunit ribosomal RNA", at positions 524 to 776 of the family's 1533-position model. The record is from RNAcentral.